GGAUGGCGCAAAAGGCCAGGCCAUCCCGGAAGGAGCUGCUGAGGUCGCGGAUCUCUACGCCGGGGUAGCCCUCGCAUUGGCGGCGGCACCAGGCCUGCAAGGCGCUGCGGGGACCCGACAUCGGGGCGGAGGAGAGAUAAAGGAGGCACCCAGAACACCCAUGGUGAAAAGGGAAUAAUUAAAAAGACAACUACUUCUGAAAAGUGACAGUAUUAAUUCAGUGGUGUUUGGAAAACUAGUGCUUAGUCCAAGAAUUUUCCUGGGAAGACCAUGCAAAUACUGGUCAGACCAGAGAGACUGGAAUGAAGAGACAAGCAACAUAGGUGUGGAAGGGUGUGUUCCUUGGUGCUGUUCCAGAGUCUUGACUUAAGGCACACAUGAUUUUUGGCUUAAACUUCAUCAGCAUUUCAACAAUUGGACAGUGUUGAUGCGGCUGCGUGCUCUGAAUUCCUUCAGCUUCAGCUGGUGCCAGGCACAGGCUAUGACAGAGCUUGUCCUUCUGCCCUCUGCAAAGAGCAACUGAUCCAAUUUCUUUCCAGGAGAUCAACUGUAGUGAGUGGAGUGAACCUGCACUAACCCUUCAGCAACACCAGGACUCAUGCUGGCUACAGUAUACAACACAUGAUCUAUGCAUUCCUAGUGAUUUAUCAGGAAACAUUACCAGGUGCUAACCUCCUACCAAGCCUACAGAUGAAGACACAGUCAUAGAUAGCUUCACAGAACUGGUUUCCACUGCGGAAAGAUGAAACAGACCGCUUGUGUUGCUUCAGUAAUUUAGUUUUAUCAAUGUAAUAAACCUUCCUCAACACUGGAGGUUAUACCACAAGAUGCAACUAGAAAUAGAUGUCUUCUGCAAUUACUCCCAAAUGGAGGAAGCUGGAAGGCCAGCCAUCUCUUCUUGAAGCAAGAAAUGAUUGCAUUGAGAACAUAUAGAGGACACAAAGGACAUAUAGAUAUUUGAAUUAUUUAAUUAGCUUUAUUAAUCCACUAUGAGAG
Varanus komodoensis (Komodo dragon) is the source of this 996-nucleotide long non-coding RNA. RefSeq lists it as uncharacterized. NCBI's taxonomy places the organism in Eukaryota, Metazoa, Chordata, Lepidosauria, Squamata, Varanidae. The transcript is spliced from 5 exons. The record is from RefSeq and is a predicted model, not a curated record.